Molecule: non-coding RNA, 563 nt
Organism: Nicotiana tabacum (common tobacco)
Lineage: Eukaryota; Viridiplantae; Streptophyta; Magnoliopsida; Solanales; Solanaceae
Source: RefSeq, a predicted model, not a curated record
AUUUGGAUUGGAUUUGGAUUGUCAUUUCUUCAUUUUAAAAAAUGAAAAUCCAAACCGAAAUUUUCAUAUCCAAUCCGAAUUGCCCAAACACCCAUCCCUAUAUCUACCUAUCCAAAGGCGACUCAAUUCUUGGGGCUUGAAACCAGAUCUGAUUAAGGACGGAGGAGUACUUACUAGGUACCAUCCACCGCAAUCUUUGGGCAAGGCCUAUCAGUUGGAUGCCACUGAAUACACCAAAGUCCAACAAUAGCUAGCUUUCUCACAAUUAAUGUAGCAUCCCGUUCUUCAUCUAUCCGAAUAUGUAAUUCUCCCCGCUUCAUAUAAAGGUCAUAUACUUAAUAUAACUUUGUCAUGUGCAUCAGGUAAUGGACUAGACAAUGCACCAGCAAAAGGAGAAAGUGAUGGAAAUUUCUGCGUGGAAGUGGGGAGUCAUUUACUGCAACAAGAAUGUUUAUCAGCAGCAUUUUCUAACAAAGCCAUUGAAUCAGACGAAAAUGUAAUGGAACUUUCCAUCUGAUGAAACAAUGGAGCAAUUGGUUGAGAUUGAAGAGGCUGAGGAGGUA